AAUAUCUCAAAACGCUUGUGCCUUUUUUGGCAUGGGAUUUUUGGACAUUGGGAGUUGCCGGCCACUGAUAAAGUGGUGGGCUCUUCUGAAAAGCAUUAGUUGAGGAGCUUUGCACUCUAUUUGGUGUGAUAAACUAUCUAUGCCAAGAGAUGCUUCACGAUCCCUCUGCUGUCUAACCGUCUUUAUCAGACAAUAUGAUAA
RNAcentral lists this unclassified non-coding RNA (201 nucleotides) under uncultured Amanita. Its description in RNAcentral is "sequence contains ITS2". Lineage: Eukaryota; Fungi; Basidiomycota; Agaricomycetes; Agaricales; Amanitaceae. The record is from RNAcentral.